UGUGAGCUCGAUGAGUAGGGCGGGACACGUGGUAUCCUGUCUGAAUAUGGGGGGACCAUCCUCCAAGGCUAAAUACUCCUGACUGACCGAUAGUGAACCAGUACCGUGAGGGAAAGGCGAAAAGAACCCCGGCGAGGGGAGUGAAAAAGAACCUGAAACCGUGUACGUACAAGCAGUGGGAGCCUCUUUUAUGGGGUGACUGCGUACCUUUUGUAUAAUGGGUCAGCGACUUAUAUUCUGUAGCAAGGUUAACCGAAUAGGGGAGCCGAAGGGAAACCGAGUCUUAACUGGGCGUUAAGUUGCAGGGUAUAGACCCGAAACCCGGUGAUCUAGCCAUGGGCAGGUUGAAGGUUGGGUAACACUAACUGGAGGACCGAACCGACUAAUGUUGAAAAAUUAGCGGAUGACUUGUGGCUGGGGGUGAAAGGCCAAUCAAACCGGGAGAUAGCUGGUUCUCCCCGAAAGCUAUUUAGGUAGCGCCUCGUGAAUUCAUCUCCGGGGGUAGAGCACUGUUUCGGCAAGGGGGUCAUCCCGACUUACCAACCCGAUGCAAACUGCGAAUACCGGAGAAUGUUAUCACGGGAGACACACGGCGGGUGCUAACGUCCGUCGUGAAGAGGGAAACAACCCAGACCGCCAGCUAAGGUCCCAAAGUCAUGGUUAAGUGGGAAACGAUGUGGGAAGGCCCAGACAGCCAGGAUGUUGGCUUAGAAGCAGCCAUCAUUUAAAGAAAGCGUAAUAGCUCACUGGUCGAGUCGGCCUGCGCGGAAGAUGUAACGGGGCUAAACCAUG
This 792-nucleotide ribosomal RNA is filed under the name Escherichia coli. RNAcentral describes it as "partial 23S ribosomal RNA". It matches the Rfam family "Bacterial large subunit ribosomal RNA", at positions 398 to 1191 of the family's 2925-position model. Lineage: Bacteria; Pseudomonadati; Pseudomonadota; Gammaproteobacteria; Enterobacterales; Enterobacteriaceae. The record is from RNAcentral.